GGUACUGUGAACUGACUGUACGCUUUGUAUGACUGCAUGGUAUGUGAAUAUAUCUCAAUAAAAUUGAAUUAUUGGGGGAAAAAAAUGAGGUAGCUGUGAAAAAGAAUAAAGCCAAGGUGUGCAAACACCAAGCCUUAAUUUAUUGCCAUUUCUUCAUGUUUUUGCUACUUCUUUCUGAACUGAGAAAAAGGACUUGGUUCUGGGGUGGAGACACGUUUCGAGUGCCUGUUCCUGGUCAGGCAAGGAGCUGGGCGACCAAGUCUCCAUGUGAAAGUAUCUCGGCAGAGAGGACAAAGGAUUAUAUAAAGAAAAGAACUGCAGUAAUCUGUGUGGAAUUAAAGGGCUGGUAGGUUCUGUUGUUUUAUAUCUAAUUUCCUUCUUUAAAUACUCAACUAUUAAGACUUCAAGAUAAAUUAUGUUAAUGCUUUUACACCAAAGCCUCAGAAAAUCCUUGUCUGCUACUCCCCCUCACUGGAAGGAAUCGAGGAACCUAAACAGUUACCGAACUCUGGAAAUAAAGUGACAUUUGGCAUGCAAGGAUUGCUACAGAAUUGACAGCAUCUUCAGUCUUUUACGAAAACUAUUCCCUGGACCCAUACUUGAAACACAGAGAGAAUUAACAGCCUCAGCGCUUUUUCUCUGGGUCCUUUCUGCUGAGAACACUCUCCAAGUAGCAGAACUUCUACCAUCAUAGUUCUUGGAGUGCUAAGACUGAAUUUCAGGCCACUGCACACCUGUCUGAAGAAAACUUUGUGUAACUUCUAGGGCAUUUUAUAAGCAUCAUAAUCACUACAAAGAAAACUUUAAUUUCACUCCUGAGAAACAGUUCUUAGAACAUCUGGAAACCCAUUUGAAUUCUGAAGAGUAAAUAUCACUAACUUCACUUUUUACUACACGCUUCAAAAGGAAAAGCCAAACUUCUAAAACACCACCUCUGAGCUGCCGCUGAUGGAGGAGGGUCCCCCUCAGUCCCUCGUGAUGCAGGGAAAACUGAGCAGCACUUAGAGGAAGGGGAUGGUGACAAUUCACAGCUUAUUAGUCAGGACUAAAAAUAACUGGGCUCUCAUUCUCCUAAACACUAAAAAUAGUAUUAGUUUUUAGUAUUUUAACCAAAACUAAAAGCAGUGCCUCCCAAGUGAAUCCUGGAAAAGGAACAUGGGACCCUCCCAGAAGUGGCCUGGCCCAGGGCAUCACCCAGGGGCUUUAGGCCAGAGGAGCUCUGGGAGCCUCAGAAAAGGGCGAAGAAAAGGCUCCCCUCUCUGCACUGAGCACCCUCCCCUCCAGCACCCAGACAUGCCGUAGAGGCUGAUGUGGUGAGAGGGGCACGCGUCAGCCCAGCUGAGUGUGGCCGGAGCAGGACAGAAAAGGGCAGUUAGUGCUCGCAGCGCCUCGUGGAGUCGGGGGAGAGGCCUGGGGUGGCUGCAGAUCUGUGAGGUGAGAUGCUGAGAUGGCUGAGUACGCAUGUCCACUGCUGGGUUCGUGUCCAGAUGUUUGGUCAGGCAAGCACUGGCCUGACUGUUGUGGGGGGCAUUUCGUGGACUUAAAUCAUUAGGCAGUUGAUGGCCUUUGGCUGACGACAUCUACAGUCAACAAAGGUGGUUGCCUUCAUCAGUUAGGGCAGACUCCUCAUCUGAUCAUUUGGAGAGUCUGAGGAUUUCAGCAGCCACAAAGAAUUUUUAUCUCUACUUCAGCCAUUCCACUUCUGGGGAAUUCAUUGUCACCUUCAUCAAGUUCCCACCUUGCAGCCUGCCCUAUGGAAUUCAGACUUGCCAACUGGCAUUCCUGUAAGAAAUCUCUUAAUAUUUACAUAUAUGUAUAUAUAUAUAUAUAUAUAUAUAUCUCCUGUCCGUCCUGUUUCUCUGGAGAACCCUGACUAAAAAAGCCUCAGGCUGGCGAGGGCAGGCAGGGGUGCGGUGGUGUGAGGGCAGGGGCCUGCCCGUUCCCCUCGGACUGAGCAGGCCUGUGGAGCCCCAGGCCCUUCCCGGGAGGGACCCCCAAACCAACGGACACUGGACUUUUCCUGCAGCCGUGGCGAGUAGGGACAUAGAGGUGGAUUUGACUGAAUUUGGGAAAGAUAAAGGAACACAGUGCCUCUCACACCGGCAGUGUGGAACAAGUCACAAAGUCCAAGGCAGAGUAACUGUUUACUAACAAAGCUGCUUUAAUUUGGAAAAUGUUCUAGAAAAUAAAUUAAUGAAGUAGCCUG
Molecule: long non-coding RNA, 2206 nt
Organism: Choloepus didactylus (southern two-toed sloth)
Lineage: Eukaryota; Metazoa; Chordata; Mammalia; Pilosa; Megalonychidae
Exons: 2
Source: RefSeq, a predicted model, not a curated record